UGCCGCGUGAGUGAAGAAGGCCUUCGGGUUGUAAAGCUCUUUCGGACGGAAAGAAAUCGCACAGGCUAAUACCUUGUGUGGAUGACGGUACUGUAAGAAGAAGCACCGGCUAACUACGUGCCAGCAGCCGCGGUAAUACGUAGGGUGCGAGCGUUAAUCGGAAUUACUGGGCGUAAAGCGUGCGCAGGCGGUUUUGUAAGACAGGUGUGAAAUCCCCGGGCUUAACCUGGGAACUGCAUUUGUGACUGCAAGACUAGAGUGCGGCAGAGGGGGGUAGAAUUCCACGUGUAGCAGUGAAAUGCGUAGAUAUGUGGAGGAAUACCGAUGGCGAAGGCAGCCCCCUGGGUCGACACUGACGCUCAUGCACGAAAGCGUGGGGAGCAAACAGGAUUAGAUACCCUGGUAGUCCACGCCCUAAACGAUGUCAACUAGGUGUUGGGGAAGGAGACUUCUUUAGUACCGCAGCUAACGCGUGAAGUUGACCGCCUGGGGAGUACGGGCCGCAAGGUUGAA
This 513-nucleotide ribosomal RNA is filed under the name uncultured bacterium. RNAcentral describes it as "bacterial SSU rRNA". It matches the Rfam family "Bacterial small subunit ribosomal RNA", at positions 395 to 898 of the family's 1533-position model. The record is from RNAcentral.